UACGUAGGGUGCGAGCGUUAUUCGGAAUUACUGGGCGUAAAGCGUGCGCAGGCGGUUCGUCGUGUCUGAUGUGAAAUCCCCGGGCUCAACCUGGGAAUGGCAUUGGAAACUGGCGGACUAGAGUGUGGCAGAGGGGGGUGGAAUUCCGCGUGUAGCAGUGAAAUGCGUAGAGAUGCGGAGGAACACCGAUGGCGAAGGCAGCCCGCUGGGCUAACACUGACGCUCAGGCACGAAAGCGUGGGGAGCAAACAGG
This 253-nucleotide ribosomal RNA is filed under the name uncultured bacterium. RNAcentral describes it as "partial 16S ribosomal RNA". It matches the Rfam family "Bacterial small subunit ribosomal RNA", at positions 524 to 776 of the family's 1533-position model. The record is from RNAcentral.